This 322-nucleotide long non-coding RNA is filed under the name Junco hyemalis (dark-eyed junco). RNAcentral's name for it is "lncRNA (ENSJHYG00000016118.1)". Lineage: Eukaryota; Metazoa; Chordata; Aves; Passeriformes; Passerellidae. The record is from RNAcentral.
CUUCUGUAUUUUAGGGAUGCACAGAAAUCACGGAUACAGUCCUGAUCUUCAUUGGUGCCUCUGGGUGUGCACUGAAAAGAAUGCAAGUAGAGUCUACCAAUAUGGCUGAUGACUGGUUGAUGAUCCAGAGAUGUUUCUUUUUAUGUGUUGGCAUGAACUAAUGGACCAUGGCUGUUGUCUGAGUGAAGCUGAGGAGGGCAGUGAUAGAGCAGCCUUGGUGGGGUCAAUCUUCCACAGCAGACACCAGGACACUGAACUCUGAACUCUUCAAAGGCCUACUUCAUAGCUAAACUGUGUCUUCUGGUAAGAUUUAGGUAUUUUU